This 499-nucleotide ribosomal RNA is filed under the name uncultured bacterium. Its description in RNAcentral is "bacterial SSU rRNA". It matches the Rfam family "Bacterial small subunit ribosomal RNA", at positions 62 to 543 of the family's 1533-position model. The record is from RNAcentral.
UCGAGCGACUGAUUAGAAGCUUGCUUCUAUGACGUUAGCGGCGGACGGGUGAGUAACACGUGGGCAACCUGCCUGUAAGACUGGGAUAACUUCGGGAAACCGAAGCUAAUACCGGAUAGGAUCUUCUCCUUCAUGGGAGAUGAUUGAAAGAUGGUUUCGGCUAUCACUUACAGAUGGGCCCGCGGUGCAUUAGCUAGUUGGUGAGGUAACGGCUCACCAAGGCAACGAUGCAUAGCCGACCUGAGAGGGUGAUCGGCCACACUGGGACUGAGACACGGCCCAGACUCCUACGGGAGGCAGCAGUAGGGAAUCUUCCGCAAUGGACGAAAGUCUGACGGAGCAACGCCGCGUGAGUGAUGAAGGCUUUCGGGUCGUAAAACUCUGUUGUUAGGGAAGAACAAGUACGAGAGUAACUGCUCGUACCUUGACGGUACCCAACCAGAAAGCCACGGCUAACUACGUGCCAGCAGCCGCGGUAAUACGUAGGUGGCAAGCGUUA